This 498-nucleotide ribosomal RNA is filed under the name uncultured bacterium. RNAcentral describes it as "partial 16S ribosomal RNA". It matches the Rfam family "Bacterial small subunit ribosomal RNA", at positions 28 to 507 of the family's 1533-position model. The record is from RNAcentral.
GACGAACGCUGGCGGCGUGCCUAAUACAUGCAAGUCGAGCGGACGAAUCGAAAGCUUGCUUUUGAUUCGUUAGCGGCGGACGGGUGAGUAACACGUGGGCAACCUGCCCUGUAGACGGGGAUAACACCGAGAAAUCGGUGCUAAUACCGGAUAACACGAAAUGUCGCAUGACGUUUCGUUGAAAGACGGCGCAAGCUGUCGCUACAGGAUGGGCCCGCGGCGCAUUAGCUAGUUGGUGAGGUAACGGCUCACCAAGGCGACGAUGCGUAGCCGACCUGAGAGGGUGAUCGGCCACACUGGGACUGAGACACGGCCCAGACUCCUACGGGAGGCAGCAGUAGGGAAUCUUCCGCAAUGGAUGAAAGUCUGACGGAGCAACGCCGCGUGAGCGAAGAAGGCCUUCGGGUCGUAAAGCUCUGUUGUUAGGGAAGAACAAGUAACGCAGUAACUGGCGUUACCGUGACGGUACCUAACGAGAAAGCCACGGCUAACUACGUG